This 637-nucleotide ribosomal RNA is filed under the name uncultured Bacteroidales bacterium. Its description in RNAcentral is "bacterial SSU rRNA". It matches the Rfam family "Bacterial small subunit ribosomal RNA", at positions 79 to 715 of the family's 1533-position model. The record is from RNAcentral. Lineage: Bacteria; Pseudomonadati; Bacteroidota; Bacteroidia; Bacteroidales.
AGCAUACCGCUGACGACCGGCGCACGGGUGAGUAACACGUAUCCAACCUACCCCCCACCUGGGGAUAGCCUUUCGAAAGAAAGAUUAAUACCCGAUCUUAUAGCGAUAAGGCAUCUUAUUGCUAUUAAAGAAUUUCGGUGUUUGAUGGGGAUGCGUUCCAUUAGAUUGUUGGUGAGGUAACGGCUCACCAAGUCUUCGAUGGAUAGGGGUUCUGAGAGGAAGGUCCCCCACAUUGGAACUGAGACACGGUCCAAACUCCUACGGGAGGCAGCAGUGAGGAAUAUUGGUCAAUGGACGAGAGUCUGAACCAGCCAAGUAGCGUGAAGGACGAAGGCCCUAUGGGUCGUAAACUUCUUUUAUAGGGGAAUAAAGUGCGGAACGUGUUCCGUUUUGUAUGUACCCUACGAAUAAGGAUCGGCUAACUCCGUGCCAGCAGCCGCGGUAAUACGGAGGAUCCGAGCGUUAUCCGGAUUUAUUGGGUUUAAAGGGAGCGUAGGUGGACGUAUAAGUCAGUUGUGAAAGUUUGCGGCUCAACCGUAAAAUUGCAGUUGAUACUGUAUGUCUUGAGUGUACAAGAGGUGGGCGGAAUUCGUGGUGUAGCGGUGAAAUGCUUAGAUAUCACGAAGAACUCCGAUUG